GGAGUGGUAGUUUAGUUGGUUAGAAUACCGGCCUGUCACGCCGGGGGUCGCGGGUUCGAGUCCCGUCCACUCCGCCA
This 77-nucleotide transfer RNA is filed under the name Legionellales bacterium. Its description in RNAcentral is "tRNA-Asp". It matches the Rfam family "tRNA". Rfam says of the family: Transfer RNA (tRNA) molecules are approximately 80 nucleotides in length. Their secondary structure includes four short double-helical elements and three loops (D, anti-codon, and T loops). Lineage: Bacteria; Pseudomonadati; Pseudomonadota; Gammaproteobacteria; Legionellales. The record is from RNAcentral.